GUGAGGAAUAUUGGUCAAUGGGCGGAAGCCUGAACCAGCCAUGCCGCGUGCAGGAAUAAGGCCCUAUGGGUCGUAAACUGCUUUUCCUUGAGGGCAAUAAGGGUCACGUGUGGCCCGAUGAGAGUAUCAGGGGAAUAAGCAUCGGCUAACUCCGUGCCAGCAGCCGCGGUAAUACGGAGGAUGCGAGCGUUAUCCGGAUUUAUUGGGUUUAAAGGGUGCGUAGGCGGAUUAUUAAGUCAGUGGUGAAAUACCCGUGCUCAACAUGGGCCGUGCCAUUGAUACUGGUAGUCUAGAGUUCCGUUGCCGUGGGAGGAAUGAGUAGUGUAGCGGUGAAAUGCAUAGAUAUUACUCAGAACACCGAUUGUGAAGACAUCUCACGAAGCGGCGACUGACGCUGAGGCACGAAAGCGUGGGGAUCGAACAGG
Molecule: ribosomal RNA, 425 nt
Filed under: uncultured rumen bacterium
Lineage: Bacteria
Description: bacterial SSU rRNA
Rfam family: Bacterial small subunit ribosomal RNA
Source: RNAcentral